This 463-nucleotide ribosomal RNA is filed under the name uncultured bacterium. RNAcentral describes it as "partial 16S ribosomal RNA". It matches the Rfam family "Bacterial small subunit ribosomal RNA", at positions 28 to 507 of the family's 1533-position model. The record is from RNAcentral.
GACGAACGCUGGCGGCGUGCUUAACACAUGCAAGUCGAACGGAAAGGCCUUUUCGGAGGUACUCGAGUGGCUCACGGGUGAGUAACACGUGGGUGAUCUGCCCUGCACUCUGGGAUAAGCCUGUGAAACUGGGUCUAAUACCGGAUAGGACCGCACUUUAGUGUGUGUGGUGGAAAGUUUUUUCGGUGUAGGAUGAGCCCGCGGCCUAUCAGCUUGUUGGUGGGGUAAUGGCCUACCAAGGCGGCGACGGGUAGCCGGACUGAGGGGUUGGUCGGCCACAUUGGGACUGGGAUACGGCCCAGACUCCCAAGGGAGGCAGCAGUGGGGAAUGUUGCAACAUGGGGGGAAGCCUGAUGCAGCGAAGCCGCGUGGGGGAUGAAGGCCUUCGGGUUGUAAACUCCUUUCGGCAGGGAAGAAGCGUUUUGUGACGGUAACUGGAGAAGAAGCACCGGCUAACUACGUG